This 91-nucleotide transfer RNA is filed under the name Clostridia bacterium. Its description in RNAcentral is "tRNA-Ser". It matches the Rfam family "tRNA". Rfam says of the family: Transfer RNA (tRNA) molecules are approximately 80 nucleotides in length. Their secondary structure includes four short double-helical elements and three loops (D, anti-codon, and T loops). Lineage: Bacteria; Bacillati; Bacillota; Clostridia. The record is from RNAcentral.
GCAGAAGUACCCAAGAGGCUCAAGGGGCUCCCCUGCUAAGGGAGUAGACGUGUUAUAGCGUGCACGAGUUCGAAUCUCGUCUUCUGCGCCA